GACCCGCCCGCCCCUGCCUCCUUCCCUUCCGCAGCUGAGGCGGCGGGAUUCCUGUUAGGGCGGACCAAGUUGAGGUCCUAGGCGGCAGUCGGCUGGCGAAGAAGAAGCGCCGGUAGCGGGGCGGCAGCGGGGGUCAGUCAGGCUGUAACGGCGGUGCCAGGGCCCCGCUGAGCCCGCCCGCUCCUGGCACCGGGAGCCUGCGGUGCGAGGUGGCCCGAGCCGAGAGGCAGCAAGUGAAGCUGUGAGGAGUUGGAGGCUUCCAGGGCAAAGCUUCAGACACCUACGUGAUCUCGAGCUCCAGCCGCCCUUCUUAGCCCACCACCAAGCCGACCCUGACUUCCUGGGCAGCAUGCUCCGCCGCCUCAUGAUCGCCCAAGUGAGAGAAGUCCAAAGAGUUACCACCCUGUCUUUGUAGUCAAAUUCUGAAGUCCAUCAACAUGGCACCCUCAGGGCUACUCAUGGUUUCAGGUGAGGAGAAAAGUCCUGUGAUGUAAAAACAGGGGUGGGUGGGCAGAUGCAGGCUUAUGGCCCUCCAAGUUCAAGCUUGGAGCAAUGCUCAGAAUUGCUUAACUCAUGUUAAGCCUUUAUAGGGAGCCCAAGGAUGGUGCUCAAACUCAACAAUGUUUUAUGGGGAAGAGAGGAAAAAUAAAAUGAGAGGAACUUGAAUUGUCAUUGUGGGCAUGUAUGUGUGUGAGAGGGAAACAGGGAACAGAAGUAGAUGUUAUGGAUGAAGUCACAGGUCACAGAUACUUCAGCCCAGUGUGCUGACAUUUUCAUUGGCUUUGGAAUAUGAAGUGUUGGAUGUGGAGUUACAUCACAAGGACAUAGGUCAAACUGCCAACCAUUACAGAAUAUAGGUAUUUGUUUGGUCUAUGGCUGUUUUUGUGUGAUCUGUUUUAUUUUUCUACAUUUACAAAUGAAAUGGGAGCAUAACUGUGUGUGGGAAACAGAUGUGGAUAAAAAUGGUAUGUGUGUGCAUAUGUGUAGUUGAUGGUGUAAAGAUGAGGCAUGUGGUGUGGACCCAGUGACUCCCACAGAGAGGACAAAAGAGAAGUGCCCUGGGGUAUGACCUAGCCAGCGUGACAGUAAGGGUAAAACAGUGAAGCAGAUAAGUGUAGAUUUAUAAUGGUGUAAAUGUUGCACCAUAAAGCACUUUCCUGCCUCAUACAGAUUUUACUUUGUAAGAGAAUUGUUAUCAUUCAGUUCUAACUCUAUGUUAUUUCAUUUAUAACCCAUGAGUUAUUUAUCAGGGUGUUAUUUAAAUUCUAAAAUAUGCAGAGAUUUUUGUUCUUUUUGCUAAUUACUUAAUUUGCUAAUUACUUAAUUAAUUAAUUGUGUUAAGGCUAGAGAACAUGACCCACAUAAUAUCAAUUUUUAAAUUUUUUUCAAGGAUUUCUUCAUGGGCCAGUACAUGAGAGUUUAGGGAUUUUUGGUAAAUAUUCUGUGAAAACAUGCAAAAAAAUGUAUAGUCUUUCCUUGCAGGACACAAAACUCUUAUUUGUCUGUGGAAAAGAUUUUCAAUGUGUUUCAAUUUUCUAGAUAUUUAUUAAUUUGUUUCCUUGAUCUGUCAAUUACUGGAAAUUUUUGUUGAAAACUACACCUAUCUAAUUUCCUAUCAUUCUAUCACUUUUUAGUUUUUAAAUUAUAGCCAUAAAUAUUAAAAACAAGACCUAUCUAGUUUUUCCUGUUAUUCUUUCAAUUUUAAUUUUUAAAAUAUAGUCAUAAAUGUUUAAAAUUGCUAUAUAUUAUUGAAGAAUUGAACCUUUAUCAUGUCAUGCUGGAAUAAUGAGAAAAAUUUUAAAAAGUAGUGAAAUUCAUCUUAAAAAUAUAUUGUAUUUUGCACAAUACAUAUAAAAUGUUAUUUCAACAUUUUUUAUAUAUCAUUCAUUGUACAUGUAGAAGACAUAGUAUGAAUAAAAGAAUGUAGAGUUCCCAUUAAUAAUCUUACUAUGCUGACUGCCUCCUGAAAUGAUAGUAUUUCGUACAUUGUGUUUCAAGUAUAUCAGGAAGAAUAAAAUUAUUUUGGAUGUAUCAGGUCAAAUAUAUACGUAAGAAUAAAUUUCACCUUUGUCUUCUUACUUUUUGAAUAUGGCUUCUAUAAAAUUUGCAGUGGCACCUGUGACUCACAUUUAUUUCAC
This 2138-nucleotide long non-coding RNA is filed under the name Dasypus novemcinctus (nine-banded armadillo). RNAcentral describes it as "lncRNA (ENSDNOG00000052697.1)". The record is from RNAcentral. Lineage: Eukaryota; Metazoa; Chordata; Mammalia; Cingulata; Dasypodidae.